This is a non-coding RNA of Pelobates cultripes (western spadefoot toad), 224 nucleotides long. Lineage: Eukaryota; Metazoa; Chordata; Amphibia; Anura; Pelobatidae. The record is from the annotation of a GenBank genome assembly.
AAUGGAACCAACCUUGCAAGUAAGAACUGCUUCAGAUUUUAUAUUUUUUUCAGUUUACUACAUACCAGACCUGCCCACUUUGAUCUUGGAGAUACUUCCUGUAGCAGCUGACUUUUAAAGGAAUACUCCAAGCACCAUAACCACUACCGCCCACUGUAGUAGUUAUAUUGCCAAAAGUGUGCUGGUGCCAUAGAAGUGUAAUCAUUCAAGCUCAACCAAUGAAU